CAAGUUUUGAGAGGUUUUCGUUUCGACAGGAGGAAGUUUGGUUUGCAAUACUGUUACACUUUGAGAUUAAGCAGCAACUAGUGUUUGCUCGAAAUGGAUAUAAUUAGGGUUAUCAUAUUUAGCAAAUAAAAAUGCAGGACGGCCAAUACAUUUGAAUUUCAGAUAAGUAAUGAGUCAGUUUUUCACACAAGUGUGAUCCAAAUGUUGCAUGGGAUACACUCUAGCAAAAAAUCGGUGCCUUGUUGAUUUGACGUUCAGAUUUACUUGGGUGUCCUGUGUUUUAGGUGGUGACCAUCGUAUAACUAACUUUAAAGGAGCCAGCGGUACCAGGGCAGAGACAGCAGGGCUGAGAAGAUACUCUGUUGUGGGAGCCUGGAUUUACACCGCAGUCUUAGACUUCUCCUUGAAGAAGUUCCAUGGGUGAUCUCUGCCUCGGGCCUGGGAAGCUGAGGACUCAGGGGCUGGGUAGCAGGGUGGCAUCUGGGGUGGGUGAGGAAUGAGGCUUUUUCCUGGAACAGUCACUGGCAUCUCCUCCCCAGUCUCCUCGGAGCUGGUGAACUGGAAGAAAUUGACCAGCCUUUCGCUCUUCCCAGAGCAGGGCCCGGCACUGGGGGCCUUUCAGCAACCCCAACGACAAAGCUUCUACACUUCAGUGGUGGGGGAAGUGCCAGUUACUAAGGCGGAUCUCCGGUUACACUAAUGUAUACAGUCAGAUCAUGUCGAAGUACGAGCCGGGCCUGGGGAGCUGGCUUCUGCCCCUUGUUCACAGUGGUGAGACUGAAGCACGGACAGAGAACAGGAGAGCUGCCCCAGGAGCCAGGAGGGGCCCAGUUCCUAACCAGUCCAGGGCAUUCUCCUUCUGCGAUGCUGUCCACCUCUGCCCUGGGCGAUCACUUUCCUCACUUGGCUUAUUCUUAGGAGCCCGGAUAGCGUCCAGGUUCAGCUUUCUCCAGAGGCGAAACGCUAUAAAAAGUCUCUUUGAAGAGCCUCAGUUCAGUAAAGACGGUCAUUAAGAACUGUACACUGGAAAUAAAAGGGAUAAAGUGGA
Phacochoerus africanus (Common warthog) is the source of this 1048-nucleotide long non-coding RNA. RefSeq lists it as uncharacterized. The record is from RefSeq and is a predicted model, not a curated record. Lineage: Eukaryota; Metazoa; Chordata; Mammalia; Artiodactyla; Suidae. The transcript has 2 exons.